Molecule: ribosomal RNA, 253 nt
Filed under: uncultured bacterium
Lineage: Bacteria
Description: partial 16S ribosomal RNA
Rfam family: Bacterial small subunit ribosomal RNA
Source: RNAcentral
UACGGGGGGAGCAAGCGUUGUUCGGAUUUACUGGGCGUAAAGGGUGCGUAGGCGGGUCUUUAAGUCAGGGGUGAAAUCCUGGAGCUCAACUCCAGAACUGCCUUUGAUAUUGAGGAUCUUGAGUUCGGGAGAGGUGAGUGGAACUGCGAGUGUAGAGGUGAAAUUCGUAGAUAUUCGCAAGAACACCAGUGGCGAAGGCGGCUCACUGGCCCGAUACUGACGCUGAGGCACGAAAGCGUGGGGAGCAAACAGG